RNAcentral lists this transfer RNA (72 nucleotides) under Loxodonta africana (African savanna elephant). It matches the Rfam family "tRNA". Rfam says of the family: Transfer RNA (tRNA) molecules are approximately 80 nucleotides in length. Lineage: Eukaryota; Metazoa; Chordata; Mammalia; Proboscidea; Elephantidae. The record is from Rfam by way of RNAcentral.
GGUUCCAUGGUGUAAUGGCUAGCACUCUGAACUCUGAUUCCAGCAAUCAGAGUUCAAAUCUCAGUGGAAUCU